Molecule: long non-coding RNA, 184 nt
Filed under: Piliocolobus tephrosceles (Ugandan red Colobus)
Lineage: Eukaryota; Metazoa; Chordata; Mammalia; Primates; Cercopithecidae
Description: lncRNA (ENSPTEG00000003401.1)
Source: RNAcentral
AUUGGCCACGGGCAUCCGGCGCAUGCGCACUUGUCUACCUUACGUUCUGGCCACGCCUUAGGUUCCCAGGCCACCCACUUUUGGUUCCACUAUGGUCACGCGUCUGCUGCCAGUUCCACGCCCUCUGCGCUCCUUUUAGGUGAAUGGAGCCUACAUAUGCUCACAUAUUGAUAUAAAUCUAGUG